This 76-nucleotide transfer RNA is filed under the name Verrucomicrobiota bacterium. Its description in RNAcentral is "tRNA-Thr". It matches the Rfam family "tRNA". From Rfam's summary of the family: Transfer RNA (tRNA) molecules are approximately 80 nucleotides in length. Lineage: Bacteria; Pseudomonadati; Verrucomicrobiota. RNAcentral also lists the same sequence under 3 other names. The record is from RNAcentral.
GCCAAUGUAGCUCAGUUGGUAGAGCAAUUCACUCGUAAUGAAUAGGUCAUCGGUUCGACUCCGAUCAUUGGCUCCA